CCGUCCUUCCUCCUCCUCCCCUCCCAUUGCUUCUCGAGCGUAGCUUCCUUCCUUCCCUCUCUGAUUCAUCUGGGAGUUCUUGCGAAGCUGUUCGACCGAGGCGAGAUGGAGCCCAAGCGGAAGGCCGACGACGAGCUUAACGGGACAAGGCAUCCGGCUGCGCGUGCGCGGACGGACACUAGAGACGGCGAUGACCUCGCCGGUACAUCGGCGCAGCCAUCAGGGACGACGGCGAAUGCAGCCGGCGACGGCAUUGCGGGGAUUUCGCAGGCGCUUGCGGGGCUGACGACGGCGACUACAGGCUCCGCCGGCGGCUCUUCCCAGUCCGGUGGAGGUGGGUGCCCAAGAAAUCAAGGCAUACGACCGAGCGCGGGGUUCGUUCUUGGAUUGUAACCUUCGGUAACUUCGUUUCUUGCAGUUCUCGGGCGCGGCCCAUGGUCGGGGCAGAGGGGAAGGGGAUUCGCUCCGCCGCCACGGCAGGCUUUUCCAGGGCAGACGACGACUACACCGGUCUUCGUUUUAGGUGGAGGUGGGUGCCCAAGAAAUCAAGGCAUACGAUCGAGCGCGGGGUUCGUUCUUGGACUGUAACCUUCGGUAACUUCGUUUCUUGCAGUUCUCGGGCGCGGCCCAUGGUCGGGGCAGAGGGGAAGGGGAUUCGCUCCGCCGCCACGGCAGGCUUUUCCAGGGCAGACGGCGACUACACCGGCCUUCGCUUUAGGUGGAGGUGGGUGCCCAAGAAAUCAAGGCAUACGAGCUUGGGUUGAUCAUGUCGUUUCUUGGAUUGUAACCUUCGGUAACUUCGUUUCUUGCAGUUCUCGGGCGCGGCCCAUGGUCGGGGCAGAGGGGAAGGGGAUUCGCUCCGCCGCCACGGCAGGCUUUUCCAGGGCAGACGGCGACUACACCGGCCUUCGCUUUAGGUGGAGGUGGGUGCCCAAGAAAUCAAGGCAUACGAGCUUGGGUUGAUCAUGUCGUUUCUUGGAUUGUAACAUCCCAUUGCUUCGUUUCUUGUCUUCUUGCAGCUGCUCGCGGGGCAGGGGAUGGGUUGGGGUACAGGGGAUUCUCCCAGCCGCAUGGAAGGGCGCCGUCUCAGGGGAUGCUCCGGCCGCCGGUGGGCAAUCCAGGUGAGUUCACUCCCAAAUUCAUUCUGAUCCGUGCGUUUCUUGGUUCUUCAUUGACGACGGAGUUGGAUUUCCUGGUUUCUGUUGCAGCCGGUACAUCGGCGCAGCCAUCAGGGACGACGGCGAAUGCAGCCGGCGACGGCAUUGCGGGGAUUUCGCAGGCUCUUGCGGGGCUUACGACGGCGACUACAGGCUCCGCCGGCGGCUCUUCCCAGUUCGGUGGAGGUGGGUGCCCAAGAAAUCAAAGCAUACGAGUUUGGGUUGAUCAUGUCGUUUCUUGGAUUGUAACAUCCCAUUGCUUCGUUUCUUAUCUUCUUGCAGACAGGAACAGGGGGUUCUCCCAGCCGCAUGGAAGGGCGCCGUCUCAGGGGAUGCUCCGGCCGCUGGUGGACAAUCCAGGUGAGUUCACUCCCAAAUUCAUUCUGAUCCGUGCGGUUCUUGGUUCUUCAUUGACGUCGGAGUUGGAUUUCCUGGUUUCUGUUGCAGCCGGUGCGCGUCCGCCCUUCCCGUACCUGUACCACGCGCCGACCGGCAAUGGUUUCUUCAACGCCCAGAACCAGAUCGCCGGCCACUUGCAGACGGGAACAGGGCAGCAGCAGAUGCCAUCUCAGGGGAUGCUCCGGCCGCCGCCAGGCAAUCCAGGUGAGUUCCCUCCCAAGAAAAGCGCCAAAUUCUUUCUGAUCCGCGCGGUUCUUGGUUCUUGAUUGACGCCGGAGUUGGAUUUCAUGGUUCUUCAUUGACGCCGGAGUUGGAUUUCCAUGUUUCUGUUGCAGCCGGUGGGCGUCCGCCCUACCCGUACCAGAACCACGCGCCGACCGGCAAUGGUUCGCUCUCCGGCCAGACCCAGAACCACGCGCCGACCGGCAAUGGUUGGCUCUCCGGCCAGACCCAGAACCACGCGCCGACCGGCAAUGGUUCGCUCUCCGGCCAGACCCAGAACCACGCGCCGACCGGCAAUGGUUCGCUCUCCGGCCAGACCCAGAACCACGUCGCCGGCCCCAGGCAGAACGGAACAGGGCACCCGCGCGGCCACUCCGGCAGGGUAAUUUGCGACGCGUUAUUUUCCAUUCAUUUGUUAUUUCCCAUUCAUUCGUUAUUGAUUUCUUGUUGGAUCUUGGCAUUUGUUGCAACAGGCAUACGAUGGUGCUCCAGUCAGUCCCUUCCAUCGGCCGUGCCCUCGUUGCAACAGGCCGACGAUCGUGUAUUGGGGACUGUCGCCAUUGUGCACGGAUUGCUACACCCAUUUCUUCCUCAGGAACGUGUUUGAGAACCACCCGGAGAUCCGCUACGUGCCUCCGCGUCCAGUCCUCAGCAACGGCGGCGCGACUCAGGGUCACCAGCAGCCUUCUUCCUCGUCCGCGGAGCUGGCCCGGCUUGCCGUCGGCCCUGGUCCAUGGUGCCGUAUUUGCCAAGCGGCCACCACGCGGGUUUAUCGCUCGUCGCCAUUAUGCGAGCCUUGCUACAACCUUUUCGUCGGCACCUUCGACCUGCGUCCGCAGCACACGCAGGCCGGCCACGCGGGUGCGCCUGGAGGGGCUGCGGCCAUUAGGCCUUCUUCCAGCUCCAGCUCCAGCUCGAGCUCGAGCUCGGACGUGGGUUCGGGGCCGAUCUGCCAGGCUUGUGGCCACCCCUUGGGCACCGGAAACAGGGCGUGCAGGUUUUGCCACAGCAACGGCCAGGGCCAGGGCUAGGCUAGCUCAUACUCGUCGCUCUGGUUUGCUCUGUUCUCAACUCUCCGAGCCUUUUCUGAUUGCUCUGUUUUGACAAACAUGUGGUCAAAUGUGGCAAAUACAUACACACAGACACAGUAGAUCUGAUUGUUUCCAUUGUCAGUGACAUUUAUAAAUGAUACUCUUCAUACUUGUUGUGGAUGUCAGUGUGCAAUCCGAUUCCUUAAUCUUUGGUUUCUUUCCUAAUCUUCGGUUCAAUUCCUGCGCUUUGAUCUUGCCCCAAUUGUGUGGCUGGAUCACUUUUCGUUCAACCAAAUCAGUACUCGCCAGCUUCUUCCAUGAGACUACACUUUAUUAUACAAGCGACCAAACUGAAGAUGAGUUCAAAUCCUAAUUAACAGUAUGCUAUGGCCAAUACAUACAUAUCUUUGUCGUCUGUAAAUGAUGAUUUGGGCAGAGAAUACCUUGAUUCGUUCGUACAAAGUACUCCCUCCGUUUUUAUAUACAAAGCCACUUCGUUUUUCGGUCAAGUUUUGACUUGUAAUUUUGAUCAACAAAAUAUGAGAUAUAAUUCAUAAAAAAAUAGAUUAUUGAAAAGUUCAUUCAAAUAGAUUAUAAAAAAAAUGACCUUGUAUUUAGUAGAUGAAGGGAGUAUUAUUUUGUUGUUUCCCGACGCUUUAGUGUUGCCUCAUUUCUUUGACAGAUUCAGUCUAUUAAAUCCAGCGAGUGCUCAAUUUUUUUGGGACUAUGUAUAAUGAUUUCUAAAUCCACAAAUUUGGCGAUAUAACAACACCCGAUAUGUAGGUUUAUUUCUUUUAAGCACGUGAUUUAGAGCAGAGUCUCGUGCUGAUUUACGCAGUCUUCUCUAAUAUUAUGCACGGAUGAUGUGCAUUUCCGAAUUGCACACUAAUGCUAUAUUCAUGAAAGUACUUUAUCCUACUCCACCCGUUCCUAAAUAUAAGUUUUUUUAAAGGUUCUGUUAGGAAAUACAUACGGAUGUUUAUAGAUAUAUUUUUGAAUGUAGAUUCAUCCAUUUUGCUUCGUAUUUAGUCUCUUGUGAAAUCUCUAAAAAGACUUAUAUUUAGAAACGAAAAUAGUAUUAGGCAUGUAGUUUGCUACUUGCGAUAGAUGUCGAAGGAAUCACCCACUAGUAAGUGGGCCGGCCUAUUAGCGAGAGUAUAGAAAACCUUCCGGCGGUAUUGCGGAGGUGCUUCCUACGGUUUUGCAACUUUAAAUCGGUUUUGGGAAGGUUCCGUCCUUUUUUAAUUUUCUAAACCAGUUUUCUUGGGUUUUUCCUUUUUAAUGCCUUUUCCUUCUUUUUCUUACUUCACUUUUACUUUUUGAAUUCGUUGAUAUUUUAAAAAUUCAUGAUAUUUGUUCAUGUUCGCGAAUUGCUUCUAAAUUAUUGAUUUUUUCCACAAUUCACAAAUAUUUAAAGAAAGUUAAACUUCUAAAAUUUUGUGAAUAUUUUUUAUAUUUAUAAAACAUUUGUUUGAAUCCAGGAAGAUUUUAUGAAUUUUAAAAAUGGUGUGUUAACAUUUCUUGAAUGAGUGCUAAUUUUUUUGGGCUAUGUAUCAUGAUUUCUAAACCCUCGAGUUUGGCAGUAUAACAUCACCCAAUAUCUAGGUUUACUUAUUUUAAGCAAGUGAUUUGGAGUGGAGUCUCAUGGUGAUUUUAAGCAACUUCUGCAAAAUCUUCUCUAAUAUUUUGCACUAAUGAUGUACAUUUCCAGGUUGCAUCGUAAUGCUAUAGCCAUGAAAGUCCUUUAAACUAUCAUUAGGCCUGUAGUUUGCUAAUUGUGAUACAUGUCGAAAGUAUCGCCCACUAGAGCGUGGGCUGGCCCAUUAGCGAUAGUGUAGGAAACCUUCCGGUGGUAUUGCUAAGGUCCUUCCUCUGGUUUUGUAACUUAAGCUCGGUUUUCGGAUUUCUCAAAAAAAAAAAACUCGGUUUUGGAAAGAUUCCGACAUUUAUUUUAUUUUAUGCACCAGCUCCCUUGUUUUUGUUUCUUGAUUUUUAGUUAUUUUUUUAUUUUUCCUUGUUGUUUUAUUUCACCCUUUCAUCUUUUAAAUAUGUGAUCAUUUCUUGGAAUUCAUGAAUAUUUAUUUAUUUUGUGAACAUUUUCUAAAUUCUGGAUUUUUUUUCAAAAUUCACAUAUGUGAACUACCACAUUCAAACACAAAUAUAAACAAAGGUAGCACAAUUUGAUACUUUGUAUCGCAUUAACUUAAAGUACUCAAUUCGAACAUAAUAAAACUAGUACAAGCAUACUAAAAACUACCUAAUCUUCUUCCAGCAGGAUUUUCUCCGAAUCCACUAAACCCUUACCGGAGCCCAAGGCUACAAAGAUCUCAAUGUGACAUGCCCAUCGCUCAUAGUGGAAGCAUUGGAGAAGAGAAGGAAGUCUCGUAAGGCAUGAGCAGCUACAUUAGUAGAUUUGUUACCAAUCUGUCGUAGACUCGUAGGAAUGAUCAGCCCAGUAUUAGAUGAAUCUAAGAGUGGUUAGAUUAAUUCUCAAGUGAUACCAAUGGCGUUAAAGUUGUCCUACAUCAACCCGUCCAAAACUGAACUUUUUAUUUAUCAGCUUUGCUAAUUUUAUCUGGAGCUUCUCUGCAACCGUGUAACACGUGCUCUUUAUCUUCUGCAAAAAAUUCCUUCCAUGUGCAACCUCUGUUGAACAUUUGAUACCCAUACGGUGUACAUUAGCGUGCAAUGCUACAUUAGCCCAUCUAUCAGAAUGGAAAUAUUAUUAAAUACAGCGACAUUAUAUUCUCGGAAUAUAACAUUGUAAGUAGGAUUUUUUUUUGUUUUGGAAGAAAACAACCUUGAAGGGCUUGAUUUCGUUGAUAUAGCAUUGUAAGUUACAUAUUUUGAUCCCUUGAAGUUAGAUAAAAUGAUCUUGUGGUAGAUUCGACAAGGUGUUUAAGAUUGAGCAAACAGGGUCAUGCCUAGAAUUACAACACUGAGCUCUUGAAGGAAUAGCGUGUCUCUGAAGAACUGACUUGCUACACUAUCAGGAAUUGCAUUUUUGUCUCUCUGUAGGUAACAGCAGUGAAGAUAAUUCGUACUAUCUGAUAUUUUCUUCGUUUCUAAUGUCGCUGGUCUGAGCAUCCAGUUCGGCAUUCAGGCUGUUGUCAGGUUUGAGGUUAUCUGAAAUAGCUGUCCUGUGGUGUACCUGCAAAACAUGAAAAAUAUAUGUGCAGCCAGCAAGACUGCAGCAACCAACUAGUUUGAGUAUUAAGCAUGCUGAUGGAGCCGUGAAGACCUAACCUCAUUGGGUUGCGAAAGAAGCACUAGAACAGCAGAAAGUUGUAGGAGCUCUGUACUGUGAUGAGCUCAUUUUGGUUGAUGGGAGGAUCCUUAGUUUGUAAACUUCUGGUCUUGGCAAUGUGAUAAUUGUGGGAUAAAAACUCUGUUUGGCAAGGUACAUAACCGAGUCUAUAGGUGUUUUUUUACUUUUGAAACUAUGGUUUUUUCUUGACUUCCAUAUCUACCAAAGUAGGAAUAACGUAAAAUUUGUGUCCAGACUCCAGACUCCAGAGAGGACGUGAGCCUCGUUAAAAUGAGGUGAAGAGUGUUAUCUACAGAAGUGCUGUUGAUGUCCGAGUUCCUCGGUUUUAUGCCCCAAGUGAGAUUUGAUUCGAACUGGAUUGCUUUAGCAUAAAGGUUUUAAUUCUGGGUUGAAUGCAUUUUUUUUUGGUUAGGUUGUCUAUAUAAUAUCAAUUGUUGUUGCUGGUUAAUGCAUGUUUGACAUUGUGCAGUACAGUUUGUAAAAACAGGGAGAGGUUUUGGGCAGUCCAGUCUAGUUUGUGCCUGGGUGGAAAACUUGGAGUUGGCCGAGAUGUAGGUAGCCCAGAUGUCGUCGCAUCAUAACACCGGUGGUCUCCAUUGCUGUACGCCGAGCUCGCCAAGCAAGAAGAUUUCCUUCUUAGUUUAAAAAUGGAACAUGUGCUUCACUUGAUGUAGAUUGUUUGAAAAAGGGGGGCUGCAGCUUCUGGUCUUAUUUGAAGGCUUUACAUCGCAUACCCCAUUGAUGUAGUAAUGACGAGUCUCCCAUUUUGUUUUGUACAGUGUCAUUGCAAUGUCAAGACGAUGAUGAUAUUAUAUUUUAUUUGCACUACACAAAAAUUUACAUGCAAUCCUAAGAUCCACGGUUUUACAAGGUAUUUACAUGCGGGACUAAGCCCACCAACCGAUCAACUGAAGAAGUGAACUACUCGCCUAAAUCCACUUUCGCAUGGCCGCAUGUGUCUCCAGUUAGUAGACCGGCCAUUUUCCAUACCUUUCCCUCCUAUUCGAUGCGUUGUUUGAUCCGUCGAAUGCACGGCGAUGCUUCAUUGAAGACAAUGUCAUUUCGGUGCUUCCAUAGCAGUCACAUGCCUAGCUAACACCUCGAUCUCGUUGCUUUGCGGUUCGCCGUCCCUAUAUCCUGCCGGAUGCACCACUCCCCCAGACUUUCAUCGUCUCUAGUCACAAACUCUAGUCUACCCGUGGCCACACUUAUCCAGUGCCAUACUUGCCUUGCAAAGGGACUCUUAAUGAGCAGGUGGUCCAUGGCCUCUUCUUGUAUAUCACACAACGGGCAUGCCUCCGGGUGCGAUAGUCCUUGCCUUGCUAAUCUGUCAGCCGUCCAACACCGGUUCUUAAGUGCAAGCCAUGCGAAGAAUCGACAUUCUAGCGGCGCUUUUGAAUCCUGAGUGAAGGAUGCUGUAGGCGACACUUCCAUCUCCAUGAACUUCGCCGCAUAGGUGGACCGCGCAGAAAACUGCCCUUCCUUCUCCCACAACCAAAUGAUCGAGUCAUCAACGUCUUCAUCCACUCGGAAGGUUGUGAUUCUUGGCCAUAGACGUAGCAACUCAGCGAGCAUACCUUGCUCGAUGUCCGAUCCAAUAUCUCCAGCCCACGCGUUGCCUUGGACCGCCUCCGCAACUGUGCGAGUCUUUCUGAUACGUUUCGAGAUCCUGGAAUAAAUUCCAGGUGCCAGCUCGCAAACUCUAAAUCCGUCGAUCCAUCGGUCCUUUGAGAAGAGAGUUGCAUUCCCGUUGCCCACCAUAGCGCUAGUGGCUGCAUGGAAUAAUGCCUUGACUCCGCCGGAACAUUUAUCUCAAACUCCGUCCAUGGCCUCUCCUUGUCCGUCCUCUGCAUCCAUGGCCAUAGUGCUUGCAGUGCUUUGUUUAGCCAUGCCAGGUUGGGAAUGGCCAGGCCACCGACCCAUUUGGGCCUGCACACUAGCUCCCAUGCCACCGCACAGUUUCCGCCAUUUGCUUCCCGCUUUCUACACUAGAGAAAACCACGACAUAUUAUGUUAAGUGCCGGGAGGAUUUUUGGUGGGAGGUCGAGUGCCAUCAUUAAGUGGAUGGGAAUGGCACAUAGAACUGAUAAUAUGAGAACCAGGCGAUCGCUCUUAGGCAUCAUCGCUACCUUCCACGUAGGUAGGUAACCCGCAACCCGAUCCACAAGACACUGGAACUGCGCGGCUGACUGUUUCCGCAAGGUCAGCGGAAAACCCAAGUAUGUGCAUGGAAAGGUCGAGAUUGUGCAGCCCAUAAGUUCGCCAACCAUAUCUAUCAUCUGCUACGAGCAUCUGGAAUUGCCAUGCUCUUUGCUUUGUUCACCACCAGCCCUGAAGCCCCACCAAAAAGUGACAAGAUGGCAUUGCAUGCUCGUGCCUCAAGUUCCGACGGCUUGAGGAAGAUCAUCACAUCAUCCGCAAACAUGGAAAUGCGCUGGUGCAUACCAGACCGUGCCAGGGGUGCAAAGAGGCCUCUCAUCGUGGCAUGCUGGAAUAACCGAUAGAGGGGCUCCAUGCAUAAGAUGAAUAUCAGUGGUGACACCGAGGCCCGUUGUCAUAAGCCUUGUCAAUUAAGAAUUGGCUUGCCUGGUACUCCAUUUACCAAAAUUCUCGUUGAUGAUGUAGACAGUAAUCCGCAAAUCCAGGAAAUCCACCUCUCCCUAAAGCCCAUUCACAUGAGGACCUCAAUCACAAACGGCCAUUGAAUUGUGUCGAAUGCCUUCGAGAUGUCAAGUUUCAACAUUACAGUUGGGUUUUUGAGCGCAUGAAGCCACCUUGCCGUGCACUGGACAAGCAUGAAGUUGUUGUGUAGGGANNNNNNNNNNNNNNNNNNNNNNNNNNNNNNNNNNNNNNNAGGGAACGCCCCCAUACAAAGGCACUCUGAUUUUUCCCAACCAACUUUGGAAGGUCAUCCGUAAGUCGUGAAGCUAGAAUCUUCUCGAAGAUCUUCACAUCCCCAUGUAUCAAACUUACCGGCCUGUAGUCCUUAAUAUCCACUCCCUCAUUCUUAGGAAGCAACGACACAAGCGCAUUAUUGAUAGCUGGCAUCCCUCUCAUAUCUCCCUCAUAGAAUUGGGAUAAAUCCCUCAUGAAAUCAAUCAUCUUUGAUUAUGAGCCAACAAGUCGCACAGAAGCGACGGGUAAAGCCAUCCGGUACGGGUGCUUUGUCCGAAGGCAUGGACUUGAUUAUUCGUGCCACUUCCUCCUCGCAUAACAUGGCUUCUAGGUGCGAUAGAUCGUGAGAUGGUAGGUCGAAGAAGUCCAAGUUCAAGGUGUGGUCACGUGUCGCCGCUGAUCUGAGUAGAGUGUCGUAGUACUCAUCCACCACCUCGGAGAUCUCAUCCCGUCCUGUGAAAAUCUACCCAUUGUGACGCAAGGUGGUGAUGCUGUUUUUUCCUUUGCCUUUGCCGGUGUCUAGGUUGUCGAUGAAAGAACGACGUGUUCACUUCCCCUUCCUUUAGAUGUAACAGUCGUGAUCUUUGCCUAGCAAUAGAUCGAUCCAUCGAGCUAAGGGCAAGCAAUUUCUUCUUAAGAAGUUUGCGCAAGCCAUGCUCUUGCUCAGAUAAAACACGUGACUCUGCGGCCACAUCAAGGCGCAUGCUCACCUCCUUAGCGAUGGAUAGCUGUAGGCGAAUGUUGCCAACGAACCAAUCACUCCACCUUUGAAGCACUUUGGCAGUUUCAUGCAACUUAUUGUCUAGCUAGCACAAGGAACGGGUUCCCCACAGAUGGAAUAGUCUGCCAAGUCUCCGCCACCGUCUGCAUGAAGCCUUCGGCCCUGGGCCAAAAGCUCUCGAACCGAAAGCUGUUGGAAUUAUGCCCUAGAGGCAAUAAUAAAUAUAGUUAUUAUUAUAAUUCCUGUAUCAAGAUAAUCGUUUAUAAUCCAUGCUAUAAUUGUAUUGAAUGAAGACUCAUUUACAUGUGUGGAUACAUAGACAAAACACUGUCCCUAGCAAGCCUCUAGUUGGCUAGCCAGUUGAUCAAAGAUAGUCAGUGUCUUCUGAUUAUGAACAAGGUGUUGUUGCUUGAUAACUGGAUCACGUCAUUAGGAGAAUCACGUGAUGGACUAGACCCAAACUAAUAGACGUAGCAUGUUGAUCGUGUCAUUUUGUUGCUACUGUUUUCUGCAUGUCAAGUAUUUGUUCCUAUGACCAUGAGAUCAUAUAACUCACUGACACCGGAGGAAUACUUUAUGUGUAUCAAACGUCGCAACGUAACUGGGUGACUAUAAAGAUGCUCUACAGGUAUCUCCGAAGGUGUUAGUUGAGUUAGUAUGGAUCAAGACUGGGAUUUGUCACUCCGUGUGACGAAGAGGUAUCUCGGGGCCCACUCGGUAAUACAACAUCACACACAAGCCUUGCAAGCAAUGUGACUUAGUGUAAGUUGCGGGAUCUUGUAUUACGGAACGAGUAAAGAGACUUGCCGGUAAACAAGGUUGAAAUAGGUAUACGGAUACUGACGAUCGAAUCUCGGGCAAGUAACAUACCGAAGGACAAAGGGAAUGACAUACGGGAUUAUAUGAAUCCUUUGCACUGAGGUUCAAACGAUAAGAUCUUCGUAGAAUAUGUAGGAUCCAAUAUGGGCAUCCAGGUCCCGCUAUUGGAUAUUGACCGAGUCUCUCGGGUCAUGUCUACAUAGUUCUCGAACCCGCAGGGUNNNNNNNNNNNNNNNNNNNNNNNNNNNNNNNNNNNNNNNNNNNNNNNNNNNNNNNNNNNNNNNNNNNNNNNNNNNNNNNNNNNNNNNNNNNNNNNNNNNNNNNNNNNNNNNNNNNNNNNNNNNNNNNNNNNNNNNNNNNNNNNNNNNNNNNNNNNNNNNNNNNNNNNNNNNNNNNNNNNNNNNNNNNNNNNNNNNNNNNNNNNNNNNNNNNNNNNNNNNNNNNNNNNNNNNNNNNNNNNNNNNNNNNNNNNNNNNNNNNNNNNNNNNNNNNNNNNNNNNNNNNNNNNNNNNNNNNNNNNNNNNNNNNNNNNNNNNNNNNNNNNNNNNNNNNNNNNNNNNNNNNNNNNNNNNNNNNNNNNNNNNNNNNNNNNNNNNNNNNNNNNNNNNNNNNNNNNNNNNNNNNNNNNNNNNNNNNNNNNNNNNNNNNNNNNNNNNNNNNNNNNNNNNNNNNNNNNNNNNNNNNNNNNNNNNNNNNNNNNNNNNNNNNNNNNNNNNNNNNNNNNNNNNNNNNNNNNNNNNNNNNNNNNNNNNNNNNNNNNNNNNNNNNNNNNNNNNNNNNNNNNNNNNNNNNNNNNNNNNNNNNNNNNNNNNNNNNNNNNNNNNNNNNNNNNNNNNNNNNNNNNNNNNNNNNNNNNNNNNNNNNNNNNNNNNNNNNNNNNNNNNNNNNNNNNNNNNNNNNNNNNNNNNNNNNNNNNNNNNNNNNNNNNNNNNNNNNNNNNNNNNNNNNNNNNNNNNNNNNNNNNNNNNNNNNNNNNNNNNNNNNNNNNNNNNNNNNNNNNNNNNNNNNNNNNNNNNNNNNNNNNNNNNNNNNNNNNNNNNNNNNNNNNNNNNNNNNNNNNNNNNNNNNNNNNNNNNNNNNNNNNNNNNNNNNNNNNNNNNNNNNNNNNNNNNNNNNNNNNNNNNNNNNNNNNNNNNNNNNNNNNNNNNNNNNNNNNNNNNNNNNNNNNNNNNNNNNNNNNNNNNNNNNNNNNNNNNNNNNNNNNNNNNNNNNNNNNNNGGUGAUGUGCGUUUUGCUGCCCUCCUUAGUCUUUUCUUGAUUCCGCGGUAUUGUUGGAUGAAGCGGCUCGGACCGACAUUACUCAUACGCUUACGAGAGACUGGUUUAUCGCUACGAGUAACUCCGUUGCUCAAAGAUGACUGGCGGGUGUCAGUUUAUCCAACUUUAGUUGAAUCGGAUUUGACCGAGGAGAUCCUUGGAUGAGGUUAAAUAGCAACUCAUAUAUCUCCGUUGUGGUGUUUGCGUAAGUAAGAUGCGAUCCUACUAGAUACCCAUGGUCACCACGUAAAACAUGCAACAACAAAAUUAGAGGACGUCUAACUUGUUUUUGCAGGGUAUGCUUGUGAUGUGAUAUGGCCAACGAUGUGAUGUGAUAUAUUGGAUGUAUGAGAUGAUCAUGUUGUAAUAGUUAAUAUCGACUUGCACGUCGAUGCUACAGCAACCGGCAGGAGCCAUAGGGUUGUCUUUAAACUAACGUUUGUGUUUUGCAGAUGUGUUUACUAUAUUGCUAGGACGUAUGUUUGCAGAUGCAUUUACUAUAUUGCUAGGUUGUAGCUUUAGUAGUAAUAGCAUAGAUAGCAUGACAACCUUGAUAGCGGCACGAUGAUGGAGAUCAUGGUGUGGCGCCGGUGACAAGAAGAUCGUACCGGUGCUUUGGUGAUGGAGAUCAAGAAGCACGUGAUGAUGGCCAUAUCAUGUCACUUAUGAAUUGCAUGUGAUGUUAAUCCUUUUAUGCACCUUAUUUUGCUUAGAACGACGGUAGCAUUAUGAGGUGAGCUCUCACUAAAAUUUCAAGACGAAAUUGUGUUCUCCCCGACUGUGCACCGUUCCUACAGUUCGUCGUUUCGAGACACCACGUGAUGAUCGGGUGUGAUAGACUCAACGUUCACAUACAACGGGUGCAAAACAGUUGCGCACGCGGAACACUUGGGUUAAGCUUGACGAGCCUAGCAUGUGCAGACAUGGCCUCGGAACACAUGAGACCGAAAGGUCGAUCAUGAAUCAUAUAGAUGAUAUGAUUAGCAUAGGGAUGCUUACCACUGAAACUAUACUCAACUCACGUGAUGAUCGGACUUGAGCUAGUGUAAGUGGAUCAUGAACCACUCAAAUGACUAGAGAGAUGUACUUUUUGAAUGGGAGUUUAGCGAAUAAUUUGAUUAAGUUAAACCCUAAUUAUCUUGAACAUAGUCUAAAGUCCACUUUGAAUAUAUUUGUGUUGCAGAUCAUGGCUCACGCGACAGUCAUCCUGAAUUUUAAUACGUUCCUAGAGAAAGCUAAGUUGAAAGAUGAUGGAAGCAACUUUGUAGACUGGGCUCGUAAUCUUAAGCUAAUCUUACAAGCUGGGAAAAAGGAUUAUCUCCUUAAUGCUGCGCUAGGAGAUGAACCACCCGCUACGGCUGAUCGGGAUGUUAAGAACGCUUGGUUAACACGUAAGGAGGACUACUCAGUAGUUCAAUGUGCAGUCUUGUAUGACUUAGAACCGGGACUUCAACGUCGCUUUGAGCGUCAUGGAGCAUUUGAGAUGUUCCAGGAGUUGAAGUUUAUCUUUCAGAAGAACGCCCGGAUCGAGAGGUAUGAGACCUCCGAUAAAUUCUAUGCUUGCAAAAUGGAGGAAAACUCAUCUGUCAGUGAACAUGUGCUCAAAAUGUCUGGGUACUCAAACCGUCUAGCUGAGCUGGGGAUUGAACUCCCGCAAGAAGCUAUCACUGACAGAAUCCUUCAAUCACUGCCGCCAAGCUGUAAAGGCUUUGUGUUGAACUACAACAUGCAAGGGAUGAACAAGUCUCCCGGCGAGUUGUUUGCGAUGCUGAAAGUCGCAGAGUCUGAACUCCGUAAAGAGCAUCAAGUGUUGAUGGUGAAUAACACCACUAGUUUCAAGAGAAACGACAAAGGCAAGAAGGGUAAUUCGAAGAAGAGCGGCAAGCCUGUUGCCAAUCCGACGAAGAAACCCAAAGCUGGACCUAAGCCUGAAACAGAGUGUUACUAUUGCAAGGGUAUGGGUCACUGGAAGCGCAAUUGCCCCAAGUAUCUGGCUGAUAAGAAGGCGGCCAAAGAAAAAUCAGGUAUACUUAACCGGCUCUCGUAGUAGUGCCGAGUAUUUGAUACCGGUUCUGUUGCUCAUAUUUGCAACUCGAAACAGGAACUGCGGAAUAGACGAAGGCUGGCGAAAGAUGAAGUGACGAUGUGCGUGGGAAAUGGUUCCAAGGUUGAUGCAAUCGCCGUCGGCACAGUCUCACUUCAGUUACCGUCAGGAUUAGUUAUGAACUUAAAUCAUUGUUAUUUAGUGCCUGCGUUGAGCAUGAACAUUAUAUCUGGAUCUUGUUUAUUGCGAGACGGUUACUCUUUUAAGUCAGAGAAUAAUGGUUGUUCUAUUUCUAUGAGUAACAUCUUUUAUGGUCAUGCACCCAAUGUGAGAGGAUUGUUCAUAUUGAAUCUUGAUAGUGAUACACACAUACAUAACAUUGAGACCAAAAGAGUUAGAGUUAACAAUGAUAGCGCCAUAUUUUUGUGGCACUGCCGCUUAGGUCAUAUUGGUGUAAAGCGCAUGAAGAAACUCCAUGCCGAUGGACUUUUGGAGUCACUUGACUUUGAUUCACUUGACACGUGCGAACCAUGCCUCAUAGGCAAGAUGACUAAGACUCCGUUCUCCGGAACAAUGGAGCGUGCAAGUGACUUGUUGGAAAUCAUACAUACCGAUGUGUGUGGUCCGAUGAGCAUGGAGGCACGCGGCGGAUAUCGUUAUUUUCUCACCUUCACUGACGAUUUGAGUAGAUAUGGUUAUGUCUACUUAAUGAAGCACAAGUCUGAAACAUUUGAAAAGUUCAAGCAAUUUCAGAGUGAAGUUGAAAAUCAUCGUAACAAGAAGAUCAAGUUCCUACGGUCUGAUCGUGGGGGUGAAUAUCUGAGUUUCGAGUUUGCUGCUCACUUAAGACAAUGUGGAAUUGUUUCACAGUUGACACCGCCUGGAACACCACAGCGUAAUGGUGUGUCCGAACGUCGUAAUCGUACUUUAUUAGAGAUGGUGCGAUCUAUGAUGUCUCUUACCGAUUUGCCGUUAUCGUUUUGGGGUUAUGCAUUAGAAACAGCUGCAUUCACUUUAAAUAGGGCACCAUCAAAAUCCGUUGAGACGACACCAUACGAACUGUGGUUUGGCAAAAGGCCAAAGUUGUCGUUUCUUAAAGUUUGGGGAUGUGAUGCUUAUGUCAAAAAGCUUCAGCCUGAAAAGCUGGAACCCAAAGCGGAAAAGUGCGUCUUCAUAGGUUACCCAAAAGAGACAGUUGGGUACACCUUCUAUCUCAAAUCCGAGGGCAAAGUGUUUGUUGCUAAAAACGGAGCUUUUCUCGAGAAGGAGUUUCUCUCGAGAGAAUUGAGUGGGAGGAAGAUAGAACUUGACGAGGUUGUCGAACCUCUCAUCCCUCUGGAUGGUGGCGCAGGGCAAGGGGAAACCUUUGUCGUUGCGACACCGGUUGAGGAGGAAGUUAAUGAUGAUGAUCAUGAAACUCUGGUUCAAGUUUCUGUCGAACCACGCAGGUCGACGAGACCACGUGCUGCUCCAGAGUGGUACGGCAAUCCCGUCUUAUCGAUCAUGUUGUUAGACAACAAUGAACCUGCAAAUUAUGAAGAAGCAAUGGUGGGCCCAGAUUCCAACAAAUGGCUAGAAGCCAUGAAGUCCGAGAUAGGAUCCAUGUAUGAGAACAAAGUGUGGACUUUGGAGGUACUGCCUGAGGGCCGCAAGGCUAUUCACAACAAAUGGUUCUUUAAGAGAAGACGGACGCUGACGGCAAUGUGACCGUUUAUAAAGCUCGACUUGUGGCAAAGGGUUUUUCACAAGUUCAAGGAGUUGACUACGAUGAGACAUUCUCACCCGUAGCGAUGCUUAAGUCCGUCAGAAUCAUGUUAGCAAUAGCUGCAUUUUUCAAUUAUGAAAUCUGACAGAUGGAUGUCAAAACGGCGUUCCUUAACGGUUUCCUUAAGGAAGAAUUGUAUAUGAUGCAACCUGAAGGUUUUGUCGAUCCUAAGAAUGCUAACAAGGUGUGCAAGCUCCAGCGAUCCAUUUAUGGACUGGUGCAAGCAUCUCGGAGUUGGAACAAACGCUUUGAUGAGGUGAUCAAAGCAUUUGGGUUUAUACAAGUGGUUGGAGAAUCUUGUAUUUACAAGAAAGUGAGUGGGAGCUCUGUGGCGUUUCUAAUAUUAUAUGAACGUAGAGUUUUUGGAGAGCAUAAAGGAUUACUUGAAUAAAAGUUUCUCUAUGAAGGACCUAGGAGAAGCUGCUUACAUUCUAGGCAUUGAGGUCUAUAGGGAUAGAUCAAAACGCCUGAUAGGACUUUCACAAAGCACAUACCUUGAUAAAGUUUUGAAAAGGUUCAAAAUGGAACAGUCCAAGAAGGGGUUCUUACCAGUUUUACAAGGUACGAGAUUGAGUAAGACUCAGUGCCCAGCAACUGAUGAAGAUAGAGAGCAUAUGCGCUCCGUCCCCUAUGCUUCGGCCAUAGGUUCUAUCAUGUAUGCAAUGCUGUGCACUAGACCGGACGUUAGCCUGGCCAUAAGUAUGGCAUGUAGGUUCCAGAGUAAUCCAGGAGUGGAUCACUAGACGGCGGUCAAGAAUAUCCUGAAGUACCUGAAAAGGACUAAGGAGAUGUUUCUCGUAUAUGGAGGUGACGAAGAGCUCGCCGUAAAAGGUUACGUCGAUGCAAGCUUUGACACAGAUCCGGACGACUCUAAGUCGCAAACCGGAUACAUAUUUAUUCUUAAUGGGGGUGCGGUAAGCUGGUGCAGUUCCAAGCAAAGCGUCGUAGCAGAUUCUACAUGUGAAGCGGAGUACAUGGCUGCCUCGGAGGCGGCUAAGGAGGGUGUUUGGAUGAAGCAAUUCAUGACGGAUCUUGGAGUGGUGCCAAGCGCACUGAAUCCAAUAACCUUGUUCUGUGACAACACGGGUGCCAUUGCCUUAGCAAAGGAACCACGGUUUCACAAGAAGUCCAGACACAUCAAACAACGCUUCGACCUCAUCCGCGACUACAUCGAAGGGGAGGACGUAAAUAUAUGCAAAGUGCACACGGAUCUGAAUGUAGCAGACCCGCUGACUAAGCCUCUUCCACAGCCAAAGCAUGAUCAACACCAGAACUGUAUGGGUGUUAGAUUUAUUACAAUGUAAUUCGCAUGAUGACGUGAGGGCUAGAUUAUUGACUCUAGUGCAAGUGGGAGACUGUUGGAAUUAUGCCCUAGAGGCAAUAAUAAAUAUAGUUAUUAUUAUAAUUCCUGUAUCAAGAUAAUCCUUUAUUAUCCAUGCUAUAAUUGUAUUGAAUGAAGACUCAUUUACAUGUGUGGAUACAUAGACAAAACACUGUCCCUAGCAAGCCUCUAGUUGGCUAGCCAGUUGAUCAAAGAUAGUCAGUGUCUUCUGAUUAUGAACAAGGUGUUGUUGCUUGAUAACUGGAUCACGUCAUUAGGAGAAUCACGUGAUGGACUAGACCCAAACUAAUAGACGUAGCAUGUUGAUCGUGUCAUUUUGUUGCUACUGUUUUCUGCGUGUCAAGUAUUUGUUCCUAUGACCAUGAGAUCAUAUAACUCACUGACACCGGAGGAAUACUUUGUGUGUAUCAAACGUCGCAACGUAACUGGGUGACUAUAAAGAUGCUCUACAGGUAUCUCCGAAGGUGUUAGUUGAGUUAGUAUGGAUCAAGACUGGGAUUUGUCACUCCGUGUGACGAAGAGGUAUCUCGGGGCCCACUCGGUAAUACAACAUCACACACAAGCCUUGCAAGCAAUGUGACUUAGUGUAAGUUGCGGGAUCUUGUAUUACGGAACGAGUAAAGAGACUUGCCGGUAAACAAGGUUGAAAUAGGUAUACGGAUACUGACGAUCGAAUCUCGGGCAAGUAACAUACCGAAGGACAAAGGGAAUGACAUACGGGAUUAUAUGAAUCCUUGGCACUGAGGUUCAAACGAUAAGAUCUUCGUAGAAUAUGUAGGAUCCAAUAUGGGCAUCCAGGUCCCGCUAUUGGAUAUUGACCGAGGCACACUUAAGGUUCGGCGUUGUUUUAUGCGUAUUUGAGUUAUAUGGUUGGUUACCGAAUGUUGUUCGGAGUCCUGGAUGAGAUCACGGACGUCACGAGGGUUUCCGGAAUGGUCCGGAAACGAAGAUUGAUAUAUAGGAUGACCUCAUCUGAUUACCGGAAGGUUUUCGGAGUUACCAGGAAUGUACCGGGAAUGACGAAUGGGUUCCGGGAGUUCACCGGGGGGGGGGGGCACCCACCCCGGGGAAGCCCAUAGGUGUUUGGGGUGCCGCACCAGCCCUUAGUGGGCUGGUGGGACAGCCCAAGAGAGGCCUAUGCGCAUUGGGAAGAAAAUCAAAGAGGAAAGGAAAAAAAGGAGGAGGUGGGAAAGGGAAGAAGGACUCCACCUUCCAAACCAAGUAGGACUCGGUUUGGGAGGGGAAUCCUUCCCCCCUUGGCUCGGCCGACCCCUUGGGGGUUCUUGGACCCCAAGGCAAGGCUCCCCCUCCCUCUCCUAUAUAUAGUGGGGUUUUAGGGCUGAUUUGAGACAACUUUGCCACGGCAGCCCGACCACAUAUCUCCACGGUUUCACCUCUAGAUCGCGUUUCUGCGGAGCUCGGGCGGAGCCCUGCUGAGACGAGAUCAUCACCAACCUCCGGAGCGCCGUCACGCUGCCGGAGAACUCUCCUACCUCUCCGUCUCUCUUGCUGGAUCAAGAAGGCCGAGAUCAUCGUCGAGCUGUACGUGUGCUGAACGCGGAGGUGUCGUCCGUUCGGCACUAGAUCGUGGGACUGAUCGCGGGACGGUUCGCGGGGCGGAUCGAGGGGCGUGAGGACGUUCCACUACAUCAACUACGUUCACUAACGCUUCUGCUGUACGGUCUACAAGGGUACGUAGAUCACUCAUCCCCUCUCGUAGAUGGACAUCACCAUGAUAGGUCUUCGUGCGCGUAGGAAAUUUUUUGUUUCCCAUGCGACGUUCCCCAACAAAAGCGCCGGCCCGUACUGAAUUCCGGGUAUAAGGGACAGGGAAAUGACACAUGAGCAUACAUUGGAGGCUGACUUGUGAGAGUGACAGCCUGACAUGGAAAAGGAGGCUGCCUUGUGGGCCGACCAAACAUGGUACCAACAAGGAUGGAUGACGUGGCGGCCCACACAAAAAUCAUCAUCAAAACCAGCCAAGGUGGACAAAUACCGGUUUUCAUGGAUGGAGAAGAAGAUUUUAUGGCUUUCUAAUUCGAGGAGGAAAAUCGAAUGACCUGAAUGAUUGCCCCCAACAAUUCAAGGAUGUUCAGUGGAUUCCUUCCUAUUAGAAACGAGCAAAUACUUCACUAGUGCAGAAUACUACUCCCUCUGUCCCAUAUUAUGGGUCAGAGGGAGUAGAUUGUAGGUAUCUCAUUGCUGGAUCCGGUCUGGUGUGAUCGAAUUCAUAUCCACCACGCUUGUUUUUUUUUGCGAGUGACCACCACGCUUGCUAUUGACCAUAAGUAAUCUAUAGCUUGUCCAAGAUCUUCUUUGUUCAUUCCUGUCAUCCAAUUCUACGUAUGUUUUCAUUAACAUGUUUGCUAUUAUUCAAAUGAGCGGAUUUUUUUGCCGCCUAUGUUCAUUGUUGUGUGAGAGCAAGGUGAAAUCUCGAGGGUGAGAUCAGGACACCGCAAGCAGUCACGGUGAGCUUGAGACAUGUUGUGGAUGCACGGCCAUCGGCAUUGGACACGAAAGAGGUCACAUUCAGAUGCGGGGAUUCCAUGCGCCAGACAAGAAGGGUAUUUAGCGCCCCCACCAAACACAAAUCCCUGUUUUAGGGGCAUAAGUAGAACAAAUUAUUCUCAUUAGCCCCCCUCCCCCGAACAUGUACACUUUGCUUUCUGCCCCCUCACAUCACAGUUAAGCUUCGCCACUGGUGUUAGAGUGAAGUCCACCCAUGGUAGCUCAACAGAGGUGGUAGCUUAGGCAAAACAUGAUAUCAAUGUGCAUGCUUUUGUUUGGAAAUGCAAAUCAUGAAAUGGGUACUAUGAUUGUCGAAGGUGAAAUAUGAGGUAUGAUGGGUUACUGUCCGCAUACGCGUCCAACCAUGUCCAUAGACGGCUGGCAACUCAAAUUAGCUACGUAGUAGCGGAGCCAUGACGAAGAGACACCCAGGCCAGCCUACAACGCAAUGUAGCUACAGUCAACUAGACAACUUUCGUCCAUGUCCUAGGAGGCUGCCCCGUCUGCCUGGGGCUAACGCCGCCCCUGGUAGUAGAUGCUAUUAUAGCGUCUACAAUUGUGUUGGGCUAACUUUACUCUAGACGCGUCUAUACAAUGUUUAGACCUAUCUGUUUUGAGCCCACGUUUGUUUGUUCGUUUGCACAACCGUGUCCAUUAAAUUGUUCGGUCACAUGUAUAUGUUGCAUUUGGUUGGUGGAGAUAAAGAAAGGAAAAGAAAAAAGGACAACACUACCCAGCGGCGCCGCACCUGCGUCUUGCGGUGGGGCGGCCGAACUAAUCACCAUUCUAAUAUAAAAGUAGCGUUGCUUUAGUGCUUUGCUAAUCAUGUUAAUUUAAAAAAAGUAAUGUGAUGCUGCGGCCAAACCCUCUCCCUUCGUCAUUCACGCAUGCAUGCAUGCAUGCAAUGAUGUCAUCAGAUUUUUCUAAAAUGAUUAAAAUUCAAAAAAAUUAUCUUUCAAACCAUUAAUUCGAUCGAUGAUCCGUUUUCGUCGUUGACUUUGUUUCGACGAAAUCUUUAAAACUAGAUCCCAUGUCGAUAUGUUUCGACAACUUUUUUGUUUCUCGUACUUACCACAUUUGUUGUACGUACUUGUCAUAUUAGUAAAUACUUACUUGUCUGAUAAAAGUUAACUUAAUCGUCAUAUUUUUUAGAAAUUGCGUAUAAAUAUGACAUCUCGACAUAAUCGGACGAGCAAGCACAAACGACAUUUUUAAGAUGAUAACGUGUAAAAAUAUGACAACUCAGCAUAUUUAAAAUCGACGACCAGAAGAAAUCUUUUUUUGGUAAUUGUUAGUAAAUAUGACAAGUCGUCAUAGUUAAAGUAGCAAACACACAAAAUAUUUUUCUGGCAAAGUUGUAUGUAAAUAUGAUAAGUUGACAUAUUUAAAUUGGCAAACCAAACCUAUGACAUGCAUUUAUAUCAUGUAUAAUGAAAAUUGCUACAAGACAACAAUAAUUUGUCAAACACGGUCGUCGGGUUUAAACAAGCGUAGUUGAUAAAAAUUUAUACACACAGUUGUCAAAUUGACAACUAGGUUAAUUAAAUAUGGCUACUAAGUGUCUCAUAAUCUAACAACUAAGUAAUAGUAAUCUGGCAACUAUCGAUGAAAAAAAAAAGUUGUCGAAACAUGUCGACAUGGGAUCUAGUUUUGAAGAUCUCGUUGCGAGAAAGCUAACGGUGUAAACGGAUCGUCAAUUGAAUUUAUAGUUCAAGAGAUAAAACUUUUUAAAAAUUCAACAUUAAAAGACCGGUCGCACUGCAUGCUAACACAAUGUCGUACGAUGCCUGCACAGAUCGUUGCAUGCGCCCGCCGCACGGGAAGGAAGAGGUGCGGCGUCGUUACUUAGAUUUUCCCAAGAAAAAAUGGUCUAGAUGGGCCUUGUCCGACAUGCCCAGAGAACCUCAUAUCCUCCCCAGUUAUGAAGUGAUUUUUGUUUUGCAAAAUCGAUAAACAUUUUUUGGAUCUGUGAAGUUUUUUAAAAAUUUAUGAGCUUUUUGAAAAGGAUCGUUAACUUUUCUCUAAAAUUUUGAACUUUUUUGAAUCUGCCAACAUUUCCUCAGAUCCACUAUCUUUUCUUGAACUCAUGAACUUUUUAUGAUUUUUUUAUUAAACGGGCGAGCGAUCACGUGGCUCGUUUGAUUGGCCGGCGAGCUCUUGAACUAGCCAACUUAUUUGGGCUACUGGUUGGGCUGUCCGAAUAAACUAGGCCCAUUAUUUAGGCUUGUUCCUCUUCCUAUCGUCUUCCCCCCAAAAUCAACCGACUGAACCUCUGCUUCUUGAAAUCGGUUACACCUUCCUCGCCGUCCUUCCUCCCCUCUCAUCGUUUCUCGAUCGUAGCUUCCUUCCCUCCUCUGGGCGUCCUUGCGAAGCUGUUCGGACGAGGCGAGAUGGCGGGCAAGCGGAAGGCCGAAGACAACCUUACCGGGACAAGGCAUCCGGCUGCGCGUGCGCGGACGGACACUAGAGACGGCGAGGACCUCGUCGGUACAUCGGCGCAGACAUCAGGGCGGACGGAGAAUGCAGCCGGCCACAGAAUUUCCGGGACUUUGCAGGCGCUUGCAGGGCUGACGGCGGCGACUACAGGCUCCGCCGGCGGCUUUUCCCAGUCCGGUGG
Molecule: long non-coding RNA, 22045 nt
Filed under: Hordeum vulgare
Lineage: Eukaryota; Viridiplantae; Streptophyta; Magnoliopsida; Poales; Poaceae
Description: long non-coding RNA (HVUL_LNC014154)
Source: RNAcentral